This 1347-nucleotide ribosomal RNA is filed under the name uncultured bacterium. Its description in RNAcentral is "bacterial SSU rRNA". It matches the Rfam family "Bacterial small subunit ribosomal RNA", at positions 28 to 1381 of the family's 1533-position model. The record is from RNAcentral.
GACGAACGCUGGCUGCGUGCUUAACACAUGCAAGUCGAACGUUGAAGCCUGGUGCUUGCACCGGGUGGAUGAGUGGCGAACGGGUGAGUAACACGUGAGUAACCUGCCCCUGACUUCGGGAUAAGCCCGGGAAACUGGGUCUAAUACCGGAUACGACUGCCGGACGCAUGUCUGGUGGUGGAAAGUUUUUUCGGUUGGGGAUGGGCUCGCGGCCUAUCAGUUUGUUGGUGAGGUAAUGGCUCACCAAGACGACGACGGGUAGCCGGCCUGAGAGGGCGACCGGCCACACUGGGACUGAGACACGGCCCAGACUCCUACGGGAGGCAGCAGUGGGGAAUAUUGCACAAUGGGGGAAACCCUGACGCAGCGACGCAGCGUGCGGGAUGACGGCCUUCGGGUUGUAAACCGCUUUCAGCAGGGAAGAAGCGCAAGUGACGGUACCUGCAGAAGAAGUACCGGCUAACUACGUGCCAGCAGCCGCGGUAAUACGUAGGGUACGAGCGUUGUCCGGAAUUAUUGGGCGUAAAGAGCUCGUAGGUGGUUGGUCACGUCUGCUGUGGAAACGCAACGCUUAACGUUGCGCGUGCAGUGGGUACGGGCUGACUAGAGUGCAGUAGGGGAGUCUGGAAUUCCUGGUGUAGCGGUGAAAUGCGCAGAUAUCAGGAGGAACACCGGUGGCGAAGGCGGGACUCUGGGCUGUAACUGACACUGAGGAGCGAAAGCAUGGGGAGCGAACAGGAUUAGAUACCCUGGUAGUCCAUGCCGUAAACGUUGGGCACUAGGUGUGGGGGGCAUUCCACGUUCUCCGCGCCGUAGCUAACGCAUUAAGUGCCCCGCCUGGGGAGUACGGUCGCAAGGCUAAAACUCAAAGGAAUUGACGGGGGCCCGCACAAGCGGCGGAGCAUGCGGAUUAAUUCGAUGCAACGCGAAGAACCUUACCAAGGCUUGACAUACACCGGACCGUCCUGGAAACAGGUCUUCUUCUUUGAAGCUGGUGUACAGGUGGUGCAUGGUUGUCGUCAGCUCGUGUCGUGAGAUGUUGGGUUAAGUCCCGCAACGAGCGCAACCCUCGUUCUAUGUUGCCAGCACGUGAUGGUGGGAACUCAUAGGAGACUGCCGGGGUCAACUCGGAGGAAGGUGGGGAUGACGUCAAAUCAUCAUGCCCUUUAUGUCUUGGGCUUCACGCAUGCUACAAUGGCUGGUACAGAGAGAGGCGAACCCGUGAGGGCAAGCGAAUCCCUUAAAGCCAGUCUCAGUUCGGAUCGUAGUCUGCAAUUCGACUACGUGAAGUCGGAGUCGCUAGUAAUCGCAGAUCAGCAACGCUGCGGUGAAUACGUUCCCGGGCCU